GGCUUGGUGAUUUUAACACAAAGACAGACCAAGAUCUCUGCUCACAAGAAAUUUACAGUCACUUUUCCAAACCCUAGAUUUCCAAGGGACACAUUUUGAAAACCCCAGCUACAGAAGAAGAAAGAGCAUGGGCACUGACCGAUGUCAGAUUCAGUCUGAGUUUCUGCCACUGAGCAGCAGCGAGCUCCUGGACUCAAAGGAUUAAGGGAGGCUGUAAUAUUUACUUCACAGGAUUGUGAUGAAUGGAGAGAAAGGAGAAGGCAUUGCCCCAGAAUUGUCCCAAGUUCCAGCUACUUGACCGAAGGAUGGUACUGUAGGAAUGGCACGUGAGCGCAGGAGCUCUCAACACCAACCUGAAAGUGAAAGGUUGGUAAGAACACAAGUUUCCAACAUACACAGGCCUUACUGGAACCAGACAUGUCAGGCCCUCAAGGCCAUGCUCUAAUGUCACUGGAGGAGGUCACCCCUCAGAUUGAAUUCUGACUGUCCAAUUCAUCUCUAAAUUUUGACUCCUGGUUUCAAAAAAGGGGUGAAGGGCUGCUUUCUCUAAGACAAGAAUCUACCACAAUCUGCCAUGGCUGUGACCUUGAUCCCAGUGGCCUCCCUUCUCUCUGAGAGCUUACAGGGGCCAUGUGGAGAUGAGGAAUGGCCUCCUGAGGAGAAGGCAUUCAGAGGUAGAGGCUCAAGCAGCAAUGAUGGAUUACACUUGGUCAGCCCAUUUUGCUAGACCAGAGUGAAGCUAUGAAAAGAUACAUAUAGUUCUUAAUCCCUUAUCUGCAAGCCUUGGGGCCACACAGAUUUCAGAUUUCAGGUUUUUUUUUUUUUUUUCACAUUUUAGGAAAAGAUGCAUAUGCACAUCAUGUACAUUCCCAAAAAUCAGAGUAACAUUCCAUAUACAAAGUCAUUAAUGUCUGAACCACUGUACUCACUCUAAGGGUGAUGAAGAUGUUGCAAUAGACUCAUAUCAUUAUCAGUUCAGGUUUCACCCCAAAACGAAUCAGGUCAGGGUAGUUUCACUGGCAAAUGAUGUUAUUAAAACAAAACAUAAAACAAAGAAAAAAGCACACCACCUUCACAAACUCUUCUUGGUUUUUGGAGCUUGCUAGAUUGCAGAAUUGUGGAGAAAAGAUCAUGGGCCUGUAUUGCCAAAUAAAGCUAUGAAUUGAUUACCA
Long non-coding RNA from Canis lupus familiaris (dog), 1172 nucleotides. RefSeq lists it as uncharacterized. Lineage: Eukaryota; Metazoa; Chordata; Mammalia; Carnivora; Canidae. The record is from RefSeq and is a predicted model, not a curated record. The transcript has 2 exons.